CCGACAAGCAGCGGAGCAUGUGGUUUAAUUCGAAGCAACGCGAAGAACCUUACCAGGGCUUUGACAUGCCGCUGACCGGUUUAGAGAUAGAUCUUUACCCUUCGGGGUACAGCGGACACAGGUGGUGCAUGGUUGUCGUCAGCUCGUGCCGUGAGAUGUUGGGUUAAGUCCCGCAACGAGCGCAACCCUUGUCUUUAGUUGCCAUCAUUAAGUUGGGCACUCUAAAGAGACUGCCGAUGACAAAUCGGAGGAAGGUGGGGAUGACGUCAAAUCAUCAUGCCCUUUAUGUCCUGGGCUACACACGUGCUACAAUGGUCGGUACAACGAGAAGCAAGCCAGCGAUGGCAAGCAAAUCUCUAAAAGCCGAUCCCAGUUCGGAUUGCAGGCUGCAACUCGCCUGCAUGAAGUCGGAGUUGCUAGUAAACGCAGGUCAGCUAUACUGCGUUGAAUACGUUCCCGGGGAUU
RNAcentral lists this ribosomal RNA (465 nucleotides) under uncultured Eubacteriales bacterium. RNAcentral's name for it is "bacterial SSU rRNA". It matches the Rfam family "Bacterial small subunit ribosomal RNA", at positions 921 to 1378 of the family's 1533-position model. Lineage: Bacteria; Bacillati; Bacillota; Clostridia; Eubacteriales. The record is from RNAcentral.